RNAcentral lists this ribosomal RNA (401 nucleotides) under uncultured bacterium. RNAcentral's name for it is "partial 16S ribosomal RNA". It matches the Rfam family "Bacterial small subunit ribosomal RNA", at positions 338 to 731 of the family's 1533-position model. The record is from RNAcentral.
CCUACGGGCGGCAGCAGUAGGGAAUCUUCCACAAUGGGCGAAAGCCUGAUGGAGCAACGCCGCGUGGGUGAAGAAGGUCUUCGGAUCGUAAAACCCUGUUGUUAGAGAAGAAAGUGCGUGAGAGUAACUGUUCACGUUUCGACGGUAUCUAACCAGAAAGCCACGGCUAACUACGUGCCAACAGCCGCGGGAAUACGUAGGUGGCAAGCGUUAUCCGGAUUUAUUGGGCGUAAAGGGAACGCAGGCGGUCUUUUAAGUCUGAUGUGAAAGCCUUCGGGUUAACCGGAGUAGGGCAUUGGAAACUGGCGGACUGGAGGGGAGGAGGGGCAAGUGGAAGGCGUGGUGUAGAGGUGGAAGGCGGAGAUAUUAGGAGGAACACCAGGGGCGAAGGCGGGGUGCUG